This 776-nucleotide ribosomal RNA is filed under the name uncultured Neocallimastigales. Its description in RNAcentral is "partial large subunit ribosomal RNA". It matches the Rfam family "Eukaryotic large subunit ribosomal RNA", at positions 26 to 625 of the family's 3401-position model. Lineage: Eukaryota; Fungi; Neocallimastigomycota; Neocallimastigomycetes; Neocallimastigales. The record is from RNAcentral.
CGCAUCUGUGCAUGCAGCAUAUCAAUAAGCGGAGGAAAAGAAACUAACAAGGAUUCCCUUAGUAACGGCGAGCGAAGCGGGAAGAGCUCAAAUUUGAAAUCUUCAAGGUUUUACCUUGACGAAUUGUAGUUUAAAGAAGUGUUUUCUGCUGAAGUUUUGGUAAAAGUUCUUUGGAAUAGGACAUCAUAGAGGGUGAGAAUCCCGUAUUUGACCAUUAUUUUCAGCUUUGUGAUACACUUUCAGAGAGUCGGAUUGUUUGGGAAUGCAGUCCAAAAUGGGUGGUAAAUUUCAUCUAAAGCUAAAUAUUGGCGAGAGACCGAUAGCGAACAAGUACCGUGAGGGAAAGAUGAAAAGAACUUUGAAAAGAGAGUUAAACAGUACGUGAAAUUGUCAAAAGGGAAGCGUUUGACACCAGUGUUGUUUUCUCGAAAAUCAAUUAAAAAUGGCUCGAUUUUGUAUUGCUGAGACCUUAAAAGCUCACUGUACAUUUUUCGUGUCUUUUUUAAUGCACUUUUCGUUUAACAAGUCAAACAUCAAGUUUCUUUUGUUGUAAAAAAGCUUGAGGAAGGUGGCUUGAGAUUCGUCUUAAGUGUUUAUAGCCUCUUGCCUAUGCAGUCAGAGAGAUUGAGGUCUGCAGCGUAGAUCCUUCGGGGCUAAAUGCAUUUGUGCUAAGUUAUAGCAUUUUAUAGACAACUUGUUGACUAUGAUUUGCCUUGUAGCUUACUCGCUUAUGUUAUUUUACCUACGCUUAGGAUGUUGAUAGUCACAGCGUGUAC